CCUCCUUUAGCGCCGCCAGCCUCCCUUGUCCCCUUCUCCCGAUCCACACGCGCACGCAUCAAGCCGAGGGAGACGAGCUCCUCACGCCCGAUCCAUGGCCUCUCCCUUCCUCCCGUCGCCGUUUCUCUCUAGCCCCUCCUCUCCCGCGCCCUUGCAGACGCGUGCGAGCACUGCUGCUGCGGUGGUCGUUGCCCGUCUCCAGCCGCCCCACCGGUUCCUCGGUCGUCGCCAAAGGGAGCCUGCCCAUGGCGCCACCUCCUCGCAACCCCUGCCACCGGCAUCCUCGACGGCCGGAGCAAGCACGGCGCCACGUGCACCCUCCGCGGUCCAUCGACGCUGCCCCUCCAAGCCGCAGUUCGGCCAGCGUGCCUUUCCACCUCCUCGUCGCCUUGCAGCGCACCGGCUACCUCCCGCACAGGCGCACAGCACUGCCUCGGUCCGCCCUCCUGGUUUCUUCCUCGCGCGGCCCCGCUGAUGCCUCCUGCCUGCUAUCGCCCCUCCUUCUCCAUGGUCCUGGCUACGGCCUGCUCCUCUCCUCAACUCGGUCGGGCCCGACCUCGACUCCACAACCACCGAACCAGGAACGCCAAGGCCAUCUUCGAGAUUUUCGCCAAGUGCCACAACCGUUGCGUUCCGUUUCAUCUCUGUCAAGGCCGAGAUGACGCCAAGUACCAGGAGGUCGAUGACCCGUCAAGGUCCUCUUCGAACGUGUACUACUACCGUCGCCGAAGACCCGUGUAGCACAAGCGCCAAGUUUGAAUACCAUCAUCGUGAACUACUUCCAAAAUGUGUACCUCUACUUCCACGACGAGAUGGGUAAGACUACGCCCGACGAUGCGACAAGUACCUCUAACGAUGACUUGAACGUCUAUGAAACAUGUGCCACUACGGUCGCCCCGGAAACACCAGAUGUGUCAAGUUCCUCUC
Long non-coding RNA from Triticum dicoccoides, 927 nucleotides. RefSeq lists it as uncharacterized. The record is from RefSeq and is a predicted model, not a curated record. The transcript has 2 exons. Lineage: Eukaryota; Viridiplantae; Streptophyta; Magnoliopsida; Poales; Poaceae.